RNAcentral lists this ribosomal RNA (495 nucleotides) under uncultured bacterium. RNAcentral describes it as "partial 16S ribosomal RNA". It matches the Rfam family "Bacterial small subunit ribosomal RNA", at positions 28 to 507 of the family's 1533-position model. The record is from RNAcentral.
GACGAACGCUGGCGGCGUGCCUAAUACAUGCAAGUAGAACGCUGAAGGAGGAGCUUGCUUCUCUGGAUGAGUUGCGAACGGGUGAGUAACGCGUGGGUAACCUGCCUGGUAGCGGGGGAUAACUAUUGGAAACGAUAGCUAAUACCGCAUAAUAUUGACUAUUGCAUGAUAGUCAGUUGAAAGGUGCAACUGCACCACUACCAGAUGGACCUGCGUUGUAUUAGCUAGUUGGUGGGGUAACGGCUCACCAAGGCGACGAUACAUAGCCGACCUGAGAGGGUGAUCGGCCACACUGGGAAUGAGACACGGCCCAGACUCCUACGGGAGGCAGCAGUAGGGAAUCUUCGGCAAUGGACGGAAGUCUGACCGAGCAACGCCGCGUGAGUGAAGAAGGGUUUCGGAUCGUAAAGCUCUGUUGUAAGAGAAGAACGAGUGUGAGAGUGGAAAGCUCACACUGUGACGGUAUCUUACCAGAAAGGGACGGCUAACUACGUG